This 205-nucleotide ribosomal RNA is filed under the name uncultured bacterium. RNAcentral describes it as "partial 16S ribosomal RNA". It matches the Rfam family "Bacterial small subunit ribosomal RNA", at positions 568 to 774 of the family's 1533-position model. The record is from RNAcentral.
UGCGUGGGUGGUGGGGUAAGUCUGAUGUGAAAUCUCCGAGCUUAACUCGGAAAUGGCAUUGGAAACUACCUCGCUGGAGGGUUGGAGGGGGGACUGGAAUUCUCGGUGUAGCAGUGAAAUGCGUAGAUAUCGAGAGGAACACCAGUGGCGAAGGCGAGUCCCUGGACAACUCCUGACACUGAGGCACGAAAGCUGGGAGCAAACA